UACGGAGGGUGCAAGCGUUAUCCGGAUUCACUGGGUUUAAAGGGUGCGUAGGUGGGCAAGUAAGUCAGUGGUGAAAUCUCCGGGCUUAACCCGGAAACUGCCAUUGAUACUAUUUGUCUUGAAUACUGUGGACGUCAGCGGAAUAUGUCAUGUAGCGGUGAAAUGCUUAGAUAUGACAUAGAACACCAAUUGCGAAGGCAGCUGGCUACACAAAUAUUGACACUGAGGCACGAAAGCGUGGGGAUCAAACAGG
Molecule: ribosomal RNA, 253 nt
Filed under: uncultured bacterium
Lineage: Bacteria
Description: partial 16S ribosomal RNA
Rfam family: Bacterial small subunit ribosomal RNA
Source: RNAcentral